RNAcentral lists this ribosomal RNA (404 nucleotides) under uncultured bacterium. RNAcentral's name for it is "bacterial SSU rRNA". It matches the Rfam family "Bacterial small subunit ribosomal RNA", at positions 355 to 776 of the family's 1533-position model. The record is from RNAcentral.
UGGGGAAUCUUGCGCAAUGGGCGAAAGCCUGACGCAGCAACGCCGCGUGCGGGAUGAAGGCCUUCGGGUCGUAAACCGCUUUCAGCAGGGACGAAAAUGACGGUACCUGCAGAAGAAGCUCCGGCUAACUACGUGCCAGCAGCCGCGGUAAUACGUAGGGAGCAAGCGUUGUCCGGAUUUAUUGGGCGUAAAGAGCUCGUAGGCGGUUCCGUAAGUCGAGUGUGAAAAAUCUGGGCUCAACCCAGUGGAGCACUCGAUACUGCGGUGACUAGAGUACGGUAGAGGAGUGUGGAAUUCCUAGUGUAGCGGUGAAAUGCGCAGAUAUUAGGAGGAACACCAACGGCGAAGGCAGCACUCUGGGCCGGUACUGACGCUGAGGAGCGAAAGCGUGGGGAGCAAACAGG